GGCCCCAUCGACCAGGAAGGACUUAAAUGGAGCCCGCGGAGCCAGACCAACGCGCCAGCAGACCAGGGACAUCGGCAGGCCCGGUCUGUCUACAGCACAAACGCAGGGCCUGUAAGGAGCGUGUCGUGGUGACAGCGUAAAGUGGACAGAACGAACGAGUCCUAAGACGAAAACUAUUUAAAAGCACUGGCCUGCGGCCGACGCGGGAGAAAAGAGAGGUGGACAGCCUACAGCUUUCCCAAAGCAAGAGCGUGUCAAUAAUCGCACCGUCUCGGGGACGGGGGCGAAGCGCCCGACCAACCUUGGCAACCCUGAGCCGCCGCCGCUCCCGCUUCCCGCCGCCGCCGGCCCCUGCGCCGCCGCCGCCACCAUGGCUCCCUCCUGCUCGCCCGCCGAGCCGCCUACCGCCGCCGUUGCCGCCGCCGCCGCCCCGUCCCCUCCGAACUGCUCCUCCGACAUAGUGCUACUGCCGCCGCCGAAGACGACACCCGCCGCCGCCGCCGCCGCCGCCGCCGCGAACCGAAACUAGCAGCAAAGUAAUCCCCGCCGCCGCCGCGCGAUGCCCGCUCUACCUCGCGAGGCACCCUAGACAAGGCGCGCGCGUGGCUGCAAGGGCUCCUGCGCCUCUCCCCGGCCUGCCCCCCUCGCCUCCCACUCUCGCGCAGCGCGCUCUCUCGCUCUCCCCGGCUGCACUGAAAA
RNAcentral lists this long non-coding RNA (699 nucleotides) under Mus caroli (Ryukyu mouse). RNAcentral's name for it is "lncRNA (MGP_CAROLIEiJ_G0003712.1)". The record is from RNAcentral. Lineage: Eukaryota; Metazoa; Chordata; Mammalia; Rodentia; Muridae.